CAGUCGCCGCGGUAAUACGUAGGGGGCAAGCGUUGCCCGGAAUCAUUGGGCGUAAAGCGCGUGUAGGCGGCUCGAUAAGUCUGCUGUGAAAGUCCAGGGCUCAACCCUGGAAUGCCGGUGGAAACUGUCGAGCUCGAGUCCGGAAGAGGCAAGUGGAAUUCCUGGUGUAGCGGUGAAAUGCGCAGAUAUCAGGAGGAACACCAAUGGCGAAGGCAGCUUGCUGGGACGGUACUGACGCUGAGACGCGAAAGCGUGGGGAGCAAACAGGAUUAGAUACCCCAGUAGUCCCUGUCUCUUAUAC
Molecule: ribosomal RNA, 301 nt
Filed under: uncultured bacterium
Lineage: Bacteria
Description: partial 16S ribosomal RNA
Rfam family: Bacterial small subunit ribosomal RNA
Source: RNAcentral